RNAcentral lists this ribosomal RNA (504 nucleotides) under uncultured bacterium. RNAcentral describes it as "bacterial SSU rRNA". It matches the Rfam family "Bacterial small subunit ribosomal RNA", at positions 28 to 529 of the family's 1533-position model. The record is from RNAcentral.
GACGAACGCUGGCGGCGUGCCUAACACAUGCAAGUCGAGCGGGGUUGAAGCGAGGGGUAACUCAAGCUUCUACCUAGCGGCGGACGGGUGAGUAACGCGUGGGCAACCUGCCUCAAGGUCUGGGAUAACAGCUCGAAAGGGCUGCUAAUACCGGAUAUGCCUAUGGCCUCGCAUGGGGCUAUGAGCAAAGGGGAAACCUGCCUUGAGAUGGGCCCGCGUCCCAUCAGCUAGUUGGUGAGGUAACAGCUCACCAAGGCGACGACGGGUAGCCGGCCUGAGAGGGUGACCGGCCACACUGGGACUGAGACACGGCCCAGACUCCUACGGGGGGCAGCAGUGGGGGAUCUUGCACAAUGGGCGAAAGCCUGAUGCAGCGACGCCGCGUGAGCGAAGAAGGCCUUCGGUUGUAAAGCUCUGUCUGGAGGGACGGAAGGAAGGUAGACGGUACCGUCCGGAGGAAGCCGACGGCGUAACUACGUGCCAGCAGCCGCGGUAAACGACGAG